GUCGAACGGAGAUUAUACGCAGAGGCGAUUUCGGUCAAAUCAUGUAAAAUCUUAGUGGCGGACGGGUGAGUAACGCGCGGGUAACCUGCCUUACACUGGGGGAUAACACUUAGAAAUAGGUGCUAAUACCGCAUAAGCGCACGAAGCCGCAUGGAUUUGUGUGAAAAACUCCGGUGGCGUAAGAUGGACCCGCGUCUGAUUAGCUUGUUGGCGGGGUAACGGCCCACCAAGGCGACGAUCAGUAGCCGGCCUGAGAGGGUGGACGGCCACAUUGGGACUGAGACACGGCCCAAACUCCUACGGGAGGCAGCAGUGGGGGAUAUUGGACAAUGGGGGGAACCCUGAUCCAGCGACGCCGCGUGAGUGAAGAAGUAUUUCGGUAUGUAAAGCUCUGUCAGCAGGGAAGAAAGAAAUGACGGUACCUGACCAAGAAGCCCCGGCUAACUACGUGCCAGCAGCCGCGGUAAUACGUAGGGGGCAAGCGUUAUCCGGAAUUACUGGGUGUAAAGGGAGCGUAGACGGUUAAGUAAGUCUGGAGUGAAAGGCCGGGGCCCAACCCCGGGACUGCUCUGGAAACUAUUCAACUUGAGUGCAGGAGAGGUAAGCGGAAUUCCUAGUGUAGCGGUGAAAUGGGUGGUUUUUUGGGGGAACACCAGUGGCGAAGGCGGCUUACUGGACUGUAACUGACGUUGAGGCUCGAAAGC
Molecule: ribosomal RNA, 704 nt
Filed under: uncultured bacterium
Lineage: Bacteria
Description: bacterial SSU rRNA
Rfam family: Bacterial small subunit ribosomal RNA
Source: RNAcentral